RNAcentral lists this long non-coding RNA (588 nucleotides) under Mytilus galloprovincialis (Mediterranean mussel). Lineage: Eukaryota; Metazoa; Mollusca; Bivalvia; Mytilida; Mytilidae. The record is from RNAcentral.
GCAGGGGCGACACCGGAGUAAUGGGAGUUUUCUUCUUGCAAGACAUUCGCCGUGAAAACAAUUUGAUAUGAAGACAAGCCUUUGUUUUCAACUUUGUUUUAAAAUUUUCAAACAUGAGGCUGUUACGGCCCAGGUCAAUGUUCUUAAGCAACACAUAUUUUCCUUUCAUUUUGCUGUUAGCUUUCUGAUAUAAAUUUUUACAUAUUAUAGACUAUUAUGAUUCUUUUUUUUUUCAAUUUCAGUUAAACACUAUUUCUGAUUUGCUUUUAAAUAAAUUUUAACAUGUUUAAAUGUCUUUUUCUUUUUCUUCAUCUUUUUGAAACCCUGGUUUUGUAUUACCACUGACCAGUUCAGUAAAGAAACAGCUGCUUCAUGUUUGCAUAAAUGUGUUUGUAACCAAUCUAACAUGCUAUUAUUUCCUUAUUUUUUAUUCCGUGUCUAUAGAUAGUCUUCAUCGGGGAGGCAAGAUUUAUUUUGUCUGUUGGUUGCUUGGCUAGCGUAAGCUAAUCGAUUUACCUCACAUUUUGAAGUUGGAUGGAGAUUGUUUUUAAAUAAAUGCCGUACCUUUGUACUUUGGUUUCCUGUCGG